GGGGUUGUGGCUCAGCGGCAGAGCACUCACCUAGCACCCUAGCACGUGUGAGGCCCUGGGUUCGAUCCUCAGAACCACA
Molecule: transfer RNA, 79 nt
Filed under: Marmota monax (woodchuck)
Lineage: Eukaryota; Metazoa; Chordata; Mammalia; Rodentia; Sciuridae
Description: tRNA.Ala
Source: RNAcentral